This 274-nucleotide ribosomal RNA is filed under the name uncultured Parvimonas sp. RNAcentral's name for it is "partial 16S ribosomal RNA". It matches the Rfam family "Bacterial small subunit ribosomal RNA", at positions 82 to 355 of the family's 1533-position model. The record is from RNAcentral. Lineage: Bacteria; Bacillati; Bacillota; Tissierellia; Tissierellales; Peptoniphilaceae.
AGAUUUAACGAAAGUGGCGAACGGGUGAGUAACACGUGAGCAACCUGCCUUACACAGGGGGAUAGCCAUUGGAAACGGUGAUUAAUACCCCAUAAGACCACAAUACCGCAUGGUAAAAGGGUAAAAGGGAUACCGGUGUAAGAUGGGCUCGCGUCUGAUUAGCUAGUUGGUGGGGUAAAGGCCUACCAAGGCGACGAUCAGUAGCCGGUCUGAGAGGAUGAACGGCCACAUUGGAACUGAGACACGGUCCAAACUCCUACGGGAGGCAGCAGCC